This 840-nucleotide long non-coding RNA is filed under the name Bos indicus x Bos taurus (hybrid cattle). RNAcentral describes it as "lncRNA (ENSBIXG00000004686.1)". The record is from RNAcentral. Lineage: Eukaryota; Metazoa; Chordata; Mammalia; Artiodactyla; Bovidae.
ACCUAUUGCUCUUCCUCUUCCUUAGUCUGCUUCAUUUGCCUUGGUCUUCUUGCUCUUCUUUCAACAAACCAAAGCAAAUUCUUGCCUAAGAGCCUCUGUCCUGCACAACAACCUCUCCCUUAGUUAUGUGAAUGACUGGCUCACUCUGCUGAAAUUUUCACUCUGAGGGAGCUCUUCCAUCCGUAACUUUGUUUAAAUAAUCAAUUCCAGGCUCUUCACCCUUUUCUAUGCUUUAUUUUUAUCCAUCACACUUAUUCCCCAGCAUUUUACUAGGUAUUUCUUUAUGAUUUCUCUUCCAAUAGGAUAUGAGUCUUUAGGUGGUGAGGAAUUUCUUCUCUCUCACUUCCUGUUUUUCCUGUUAAAUAGAUGACAAUCUUGACAAUUUCAGUGUAACCUGGCAGCUUUUUGGCAUCUCCCUGGGGUGUUUGCUGAGAACUCAGUGCACCCUGACCUUCAGAUCCCUCUGAGUUGGUAAGCAAUCUUCCCUAGCAUUUAUUUAUGCUCAAGGAGGAGAACAAUGAGAAGCAAUUGAGACCCAAGAGAGCCUGUCGUGUGCAAAUGCAGAAGAACCAAGAAAGCUGUAAAAUUGCCUCCCCUCCCAGCCAGCCCUGUUCGGGAGAAUGGAACCUUCCAUUAACCCUGUUUAAGGGACUGACUUUCCACCUCUGGGUACAGCCACCAUGGUCAAGUCCUGCAUCUGGACCUGGGCGGCAGGAUGGGACCUGGGCUGGGGAGAGGAUGAAUUCACGUGCACCGAAUGUCUCAAAGGCAGGCGUCUGUGAGCCUGCGCUAGUUAAGGAAAGGAUGAUUUCAAGGCAGCUGGGGGUGACAACAGUGUGA